This 1285-nucleotide long non-coding RNA is filed under the name Physcomitrium patens. Its description in RNAcentral is "long non-coding RNA (PPAT_LNC005634)". Lineage: Eukaryota; Viridiplantae; Streptophyta; Bryopsida; Funariales; Funariaceae. The record is from RNAcentral.
UUUUUUUUUUUGGGGGCGAAGACAUGCCAAAUUGCUUCCCCACGUACCCUUGUUUCUAUAGAGCUGCAAUUGCGCAGCUGUAGUGUAUUAGUUAUCUGGAAAUAGAACGUCAAACUUUACCAAUAGUUAGAUCUUGUCGUUAGCUUCCUCGGGACAGUAGGCACGCUUUGUUUAGAGAGAAAACAAGAAAGUUGUGGUGGUUUUAGUGACAAGGAGGUCAGCUGUCGCCAGAUCUGGAGGUCCGACUUUGGAAGGCGAUUGUUGGCGGACAGUAUUGAAUUUGGAGCUGAAACUUUUGUGGGGAAUGGUUCUUGUUGUCAGCUUUGCAAGGACUAUUUUCACGCUUAGAUUGAGUAAAGGCCAAGGAAGUUAUGGUGGUUGGAGUGAAGAGGAGUCGGCCGUGGUGAAGAUGUAGCACUCCGCCAACUCAAGCUACUUUGGAAGGUCAUAUCUUGGAAUUCACUCAAGAUUUUCAAGAAAACAUUGUUGGAGGUGAUGCGGCUUCAAUUCUAGUUUCUGGAAUGCUAAAGCAUAUGCGUUGCACAACUGGAAUGGAGCAAGGGCAAGGGUUUUUGUGGCCAGGGGUGCUCUGACUAGGCCGAGAAAGUCAGGCAACUUUGAGGCAAGAUUUCUUUUAGCUUAAUUGUUGUUUUGCAUUGAAUUUUAUUGGAGGACAAGCGCUUGUAAGUCUACUUUCUAAAAUAGCAAAGCUUGUUAUAAACAAGUUAGUGAUGCAACCAUUGUAGUGGAAUUUGUGCAAGGGGGUCGCUGCCAUGACUUGGAAGGUGGCGACUUCCAAUUUUCUUUAAUUUUUAGGAUGAAUCUUGAAUGAAUUAGGUCAAUUGCACGAAUUAUCAAUUGGAUGAUAAGUUGACUUAUGGUUGGAUGAAUGAAUCUUUAGAUGAAAAUUGGAUGAACAAACUUUGAAUGAAUGAAUGUUAUGGGAUGAAUGAGAUUUAAGGGAUAGAUGAUUGAUGAAUGAAAAUUUAGGAUGGAUGAACUUAGGGUUUAUGGAUGAACUUAGGGUUUAUGAAUGAACUUAGGAUUUAUGGAUGAACUUAGGAUUUAUGGAUGAACUUAGGGUUUAUGGAUGAACUUAGGGUUAUAGAUGAACUUAGGAUUUAUGGAUGAACUUAGGGUUUAUGAAUGAACUUAGGAUUUAUAAAAAUUGCGUGUGAGUGAAGUUAAUCCACUUGACUACUAAACGCAAUUAAGGGUGGAGGAAUUUAGCUCACAGUUGACUUACUAACUGAGUUAUUAUAAUUAUUACAACGUUCAAGACGAC